UGGGCGUUAAGUUGCAGGGUAUAGACCCGAAACCCGGUGAUCUAGCCAUGGGCAGGUUGAAGGGUGGGUAACACUAACUGGAGGACCGAACCGACUAAUGUUGAAAAAUUAGCGGAUGACCUGUGGCUGGGGGUGAAAGGCCAAUCAAACCGGGAGAUAGCUGGUUCUCCCCGAAAGCUAUUUAGGUAGCGCCUCGUGAAUUCAUCUCCGGGGGUAGAGCACUGUUUCGGCUAGGGGGCCAUCCCGGCUUACCAACCCGAUGCAAACUGCGAAUACCGGAGAAUGUUAUCACGGGAGACACACGGCGGGUGCUAACGUCCGUCGUGAAGAGGGAAACAACCCAGACCGCCAGCUAAGGUCCCAAAGUCAUGGUUAAGUGGGAAACGAUGUGGGAAGGCCCAGACAGCCAGGAUGUUGGCUUAGAAGCAGCCAUCAUUUAAAGAAAGCGUAAUAGCUCACUGGUCGAGUCGGCCUGCGCGGAAGAUGUAACGGGGCUAAACCAUGCACCGAAGCUGCGGCAGCGACACUGUGUGUUGUUGGGUAGGGGAGCGUUCUGUAAGCCUGUGAAGGUGUGUCGUGAGGCAUGCUGGAGGUAUCAGAAGUGCGAAUGCUGACAUAAGUAACGAUAAAGCGGGUGAAAAGCCCGCUCGCCGGAAGACCAAGGGUUCCUGUCCAACGUUAAUCGGGGCAGGGUGAGUCGACCCCUAAGGCGAGGCCGAAAGGCGUAGUCGAUGGGAAACGGGUUAAUAUUCCCGUACUUGGUGUUACUGCGAAGGGGGGACGGAGAAGGCUAUGUUGGCCGGGCGACGGUUGUCCCGGUUUAAGCGUGUAGGUGUGUGUUCCAGGUAAAUCCGGUUCACUUUAACACUGAGGCGUGACGACGAGGCACUACGGUGCUGAAGCAACAAAUGCCCUGCUUCCAGGAAAAGCCUCUAAGCAUCAGGUAACAUCAAAUCGUACCCCAAACCGACACAGGUGGUCAGGUAGAGAAUACCAAGGCGCUUGAGAGAACUCGGGUGAAGGAACUAGGCAAAAUGGUGCCGUAACUUCGGGAGAAGGCACGCUGACACGUAGGUGAAGUGAUUUACUCAUGGAGCUGAAGUCAGUCGAAGAUACCAGCUGGCUGCAACUGUUUAUUAAAAACACAGCACUGUGCAAACACGAAAGUGGACGUAUACGGUGUGACGCCUGCCCGGUGCCGGAAGGUUAAUUGAUGGGGUCAGCGCAAGCGAAGCUCCUGAUCGAAGCCCCGGUAAACGGCGGCCGUAACUAUAACGGUCCUAAGGUAGCGAAAUUCCUUGUCGGGUAAGUUCCGACCUGCACGAAUGGCGUAAUGAUGGCCAGGCUGUCUCCACCCGAGACUCAGUGAAAUUGAACUCGCUGUGAAGAUGCAGUGUACCCGCGGCAAGACGGAAAGACCCCGUGAACCUUUACUAUAGCUUGACACUGAACAUUGAGCCUUGAUGUGUAGGAUAGGUGGGAGGCUUUGAAGUGUGGACGCCAGUCUGCAUGGAGCCGACCUUGAAAUACCACCCUUUAAUGUUUGAUGUUCUAACGUGGACCCGUUACCCGGGUUGCGGACAGUGUCUGGUGGGUAGUUUGACUGGGGCGGUCUCCUCCUAAAGAGUAACGGAGGAGCACGAAGGUUGGCUAAUCCUGGUCGGACAUCAGGAGGUUAGUGCAAUGGCAUAAGCCAGCUUGACUGCGAGCGUGACGGCGCGAGCAGGUGCGAAAGCAGGUCAUAGUGAUCCGGUGGUUCUGAAUGGAAGGGCCAUCGCUCAACGGAUAAAAGGUACUCCGGGGAUAACAGGCUGAUACCGCCCAAGAGUUCAUAUCGACGGCGGUGUUUGGCACCUCGAUGUCGGCUCAUCACAUCCUGGGGCUGAAGUAGGUCCCAAGGGUAUGGCUGUUCGCCAUUUAAAGUGGUACGCGAGCUGGGUUUAGAACGUCGUGAGACAGUUCGGUCCCUAUCUGCCGUGGGCGCUGGAGAACUGAGGGGGGCUGCUCCUAGUACGAGAGGACCGGAGUGGACGCAUCACUGGUGUUCGGGUUGUCAUGCCAAUGGCACUGCCCGGUAGCUAAAUGCGGAAGAGAUAAGUGCUGAAAGCAUCUAAGCACGAAACUUGCCCCGA
RNAcentral lists this ribosomal RNA (2132 nucleotides) under Salmonella enterica subsp. enterica serovar Enteritidis. Its description in RNAcentral is "partial 23S ribosomal RNA". It matches the Rfam family "Bacterial large subunit ribosomal RNA", at positions 689 to 2802 of the family's 2925-position model. Lineage: Bacteria; Pseudomonadati; Pseudomonadota; Gammaproteobacteria; Enterobacterales; Enterobacteriaceae. The record is from RNAcentral.